GAUGAACGCUGGCGGCGUGCCUAAUACAUGCAAGUCGAGCGAACAGACGAGGAGCUUGCUCCUCUGACGUUAGCGGCGGACGGGUGAGUAACACGUGGAUCACCUACCUAUAAGACUGGGAUAACUUCGGGAAACCGGAGCUAAUACCGGAUAAUAUAUUGAACCGCAUGGUUCAAUAGUGAAAGACGGUUUUGCUGUCACUUAUAGCUGGAUCCGCGCCGCAUUAGCUAGUUGGUAAGGUAACGGCUUACCAAGGCGACGAUGCGUAGCCGACCUGAGAGGGUGAUCGGCCACACUGGAACUGAGACACGGUCCAGACUCCUACGGGAGGCAGCAGUAGGGAAUCUUCCGCAAUGGGCGAAAGCCUGACGGAGCAACGCCGCGGGAGUGAUGAAGGUCUUCGGAUCGUAAAACUCUGUUAUUAGGGAAGAACAAAUGUGUAAGUAACUAUGCACGUCUUGACGGUACCUAAUCAGAAAGCCACGGCUAACUACGUG
This 497-nucleotide ribosomal RNA is filed under the name uncultured bacterium. RNAcentral describes it as "partial 16S ribosomal RNA". It matches the Rfam family "Bacterial small subunit ribosomal RNA", at positions 28 to 507 of the family's 1533-position model. The record is from RNAcentral.